RNAcentral lists this ribosomal RNA (253 nucleotides) under Eubacteriales bacterium. RNAcentral describes it as "partial 16S ribosomal RNA". It matches the Rfam family "Bacterial small subunit ribosomal RNA", at positions 524 to 776 of the family's 1533-position model. RNAcentral also lists the same sequence under 1 other name. The record is from RNAcentral. Lineage: Bacteria; Bacillati; Bacillota; Clostridia; Eubacteriales.
UACGUAGGUGGCAAGCGUUGUCCGGAAUUAUUGGGCGUAAAGGGCGCGUAGGCGGCCUUCUAAGUCAGAUGUGAAAUCCCUGGGCUUAACCCGGGUCGUGCAUUUGAAACUGGAAGGCUUGAGUGCAGGAGAGGAAAGUGGAAUUCCUAGUGUAGCGGUGAAAUGCGUAGAUAUUAGGAGGAACACCAGUGGCGAAGGCGACUUUCUGGACUGUAACUGACGCUGAGGCGCGAAAGCGUGGGGAGCAAACAGG